GAAGCUUUGCUCUUUGGACACAUAUAUGAAGGUGAAGGAGGCAAAGUGAAGUAUGGCAAAAUCAAGAUUGGAGGAAAUGGUUAUGUGGGAAGUAGAGCUGUGGCAAUGCCAGGGGUAACUAGUGAUAAUAAAGGUAAUCUUGGAAAUCUCUCAUUUGCCAUUAAGGGAGAGCUCGUAAAAUAGGCGAAAAUAUGAUCAAGAUUAUGGCAGUGUUUGGUAUGACGGAAGUCAUUUUCC
RNAcentral lists this long non-coding RNA (237 nucleotides) under Capsicum annuum. RNAcentral's name for it is "long non-coding RNA (CANN_LNC000638)". The record is from RNAcentral. Lineage: Eukaryota; Viridiplantae; Streptophyta; Magnoliopsida; Solanales; Solanaceae.